Pelobates cultripes (western spadefoot toad) is the source of this 217-nucleotide non-coding RNA. NCBI's taxonomy places the organism in Eukaryota, Metazoa, Chordata, Amphibia, Anura, Pelobatidae. The record is from the annotation of a GenBank genome assembly.
CUAGUGGCAGAGUGAGGGGAUGACUGGUGACAGAGUGAGGGAGGUGGUGACUAGUGACAAAGUGAGGGAGGUGGUGACUGUCACUAGUCACCACCUCCCUCCCUCUGUCCCUAGUCACUCCUCCCUCUGUCACUAGUCACCCCCACCCUCUCUGUGUCACUAGUCACCCCCUCCCUCUCUAUGACACUAAUCACCCCCUCCCUCACUCUGUCACUAG